GAAACGCUGGCGGCGUGCCUAACACAUGCAAGUCGAGCGGAGGCAGCGGAAGAGCAAUCUGAGGCUGUCUGAGCGGCGGACGGGUGAGUAACGCGUGAGCAACCUGCCUUCCACAGGGGGAUAACGUACCGAAAGGUACACUAAUACCGCAUGAGACCACGGUACUGAUGGUACAGGGGUCAAAGGAGGAAUCCGGUGGGAGAUGGGCUCGCGUCCGAUUAGGUAGUUGGCGGGGUAAUGGCCCACCAAGCCUAUGAUCGGUAGCCGGCCUGAGAGGGUGAACGGCCACAUUGGAACUGAGAGACGGUCCAAACUCCUACGGGAGGCAGCAGUGGGGAAUAUUGGGCAAUGGGGGGAACCCUGACCCAGCAACGCCGCGUGAGGGAAGAAGGUUUUCGGAUUGUAAACCUCUGUUCUUGGAGAAGAGUGUAAGACGGUAUCCAAGGAGGAAGCCCCGGCUAACUACGUG
Molecule: ribosomal RNA, 469 nt
Filed under: uncultured bacterium
Lineage: Bacteria
Description: bacterial SSU rRNA
Rfam family: Bacterial small subunit ribosomal RNA
Source: RNAcentral